Long non-coding RNA from Myotis davidii, 364 nucleotides. RefSeq lists it as uncharacterized. Lineage: Eukaryota; Metazoa; Chordata; Mammalia; Chiroptera; Vespertilionidae. The transcript has 4 exons. The record is from RefSeq and is a predicted model, not a curated record.
GCAUCUGAGGCACGGAUGAGCACUGGGGCCUUGGAGGCCAUGAGAUGGGUGAGGGACAUGAUGGAGGAAGGGGCUAGAUCAGUGCUAAGUGGACCACCAUAUUUGGGAACAGCAAUCUAUGAUUGGAAAAGCAAAACAUUUGAAUGGUACAAACAUUUGAAGACCCUAGGGUCCUAGAGGAUGGCGCUUUCUAAGGGUGCUGGAGCAUCAGCUUACAAUGAGAAAUCAGGAUGUAAGACUCUUCUGACCACAAAAAUACCAUUGAAAAGAAAACUCUAUAAGAGAGGAACAUUUAAGAAGAAAACAAAGGGAGUUGAAGUUAAAAAGUAUAAUAGAAAUGGAAAAAAAACAAGAUAAAAUUGAG